RNAcentral lists this ribosomal RNA (405 nucleotides) under uncultured prokaryote. RNAcentral describes it as "bacterial SSU rRNA". It matches the Rfam family "Bacterial small subunit ribosomal RNA", at positions 355 to 776 of the family's 1533-position model. The record is from RNAcentral. RNAcentral also lists the same sequence under 1 other name.
UGGGGAAUAUUGCACAAUGGGGGAAACCCUGAUGCAGCAACGCCGCGUGAGCGAAGAAGUAUUUCGGUAUGUAAAGCUCUAUCAGCAGGGAAGAUAAUGACGGUACCUGACUAAGAAGCCCCGGCUAACUACGUGCCAGCAGCCGCGGUAAUACGUAGGGGGCAAGCGUUAUCCGGAUUUACUGGGUGUAAAGGGUGCGUAGGUGGCAUGGCAAGUCAGAAGUGAAAACCCGGGGCUCAACCCCGUGGAUUGCUUUUGAAACUGUCAGGCUGGAGUACAGGAGAGGUAAGCGGAAUUCCUAGUGUAGCGGUGAAAUGCGUAGAUAUUAGGAGGAACACCAGUGGCGAAGGCGGCUUACUGGACUGUAACUGACACUGAGGCACGAAAGCGUGGGGAGCAAACAGG